RNAcentral lists this unclassified non-coding RNA (506 nucleotides) under uncultured Entrophospora. RNAcentral's name for it is "SSU rRNA". It matches the Rfam family "Eukaryotic small subunit ribosomal RNA", at positions 591 to 1092 of the family's 1831-position model. Lineage: Eukaryota; Fungi; Glomeromycota; Glomeromycetes; Entrophosporales; Entrophosporaceae. The record is from RNAcentral.
CCAAUAGCGUAUAUUAAAGUUGUUGCAGUUAAAAAGCUCGUAGUUGAAUUUCGGGAUUGACACAUCGGUCGUGCCUUAAGGGGUAUGAACUGGUGUAGUCAAUUUCUCACCUUCUAGAGAACCGCGAUGCCCUUAAUUGGGUGUCGCGGGGAACCAGGACCUUUACUUUGAAAAAAUUAGAGUGUUUAAAGCAGGCAUUUUGCUUGAAUACAUUAGCAUGGAAUAAUAAAAUAGGACGGCAUGAUUCUAUUUUGUUGGUUUCUAGGAUCACCGUAAUGAUUAAUAGGGAUAGUUGGGGGCAUUAGUAUUCAAUUGUCAGAGGUGAAAUUCUUGGAUUUAUUGAAGACUAACUACUGCGAAAGCAUUUGCCAAGGAUGUUUUCAUUAAUCAAGAACGAAAGUUAGGGGAUCGAAGACGAUCAGAUACCGUCGUAGUCUUAACCAUAAACUAUGCCGACUAGGAAUCAGACGAUGUUAAUUUUUUAAUGACUCGUUUGGCACCUUACG